GCAGUCGUGGCCGAGUGGUUAAGGCGAUGGACUAGACAUCUUUUGGGGUCUCCCCGCAAAGGCUCGAAUCCUGUCAAAUGCG
Non-coding RNA from Ixodes scapularis (black-legged tick), 82 nucleotides. Lineage: Eukaryota; Metazoa; Arthropoda; Arachnida; Ixodida; Ixodidae. The record is from Rfam.